CGGCGACGGGUGAGUAACGCGUGGGCARCUGCCUSUAGCYGGGAUACCAGCGCGAAAGUGCUGCUAACACCGGAUAUGCUCACAGGGAGACAUCUCCCGGUGAGGAAAGUUUACACUAGAGGAUGGGCMCGCGUCCCAUUAGCUAGUUGGUGAGGUAACGKCCCACCAAGGCGACGAUGSSUAGCCGACCUGAGAGGGUGAUCGGCCACACUGGGWYUGASACACGGCCCAGACUCCUACGGGASGCAGCAGUAGGGAAUUUUCCKCAAUGWUUUUCUAGCCUGACGGAGCAACCCCGCGUAACAAAKGAAGGUGAGGRAGAUAGUUUUUGGGAUGUUAACCCUCUGUSUUCAGGGACGAUAAUGACGGURCCUGAGGAGGAAGCCACGGCUAACUACGUGCCAGCAGCCGCGGUAAUACGUAGGUGGCGAGCGUUGUCCGGAAUUACUGGGCGUAAAGGGCGUGUAGGCGGCCUUUUAAGUCAGAUGUGAAAUCUCAGGGCUUAACCCUGAAACUGCAUUUGAAACUGGAGGGCUUGAGGAUCGGAGAGGGCAGUGGAAUUCCCAGUGUAGCGGUGAAAUGCGUAGAUAUUGGGAGGAACACCAGUGGCGAAGGCGACUGCCUGGACGACACCUGACGCUGAGGCGCGAAAGCUAGGGGAGCGAACGGGAUUAGAUACCCCGGUAGUCCUAGCCGUAAACGAUGGGUUCUAGGUGUGGGAGGUAUCGACCCCUUCCGUGCCGCAGUUAACACAAUAAGUACCCCGCCYUGGGGA
Molecule: ribosomal RNA, 775 nt
Filed under: uncultured Bacillota bacterium
Lineage: Bacteria; Bacillati; Bacillota
Description: uncultured Firmicutes bacterium partial 16S ribosomal RNA
Rfam family: Bacterial small subunit ribosomal RNA
Source: RNAcentral